This is a long non-coding RNA of Leopardus geoffroyi (Geoffroy's cat), 336 nucleotides long. RefSeq lists it as uncharacterized. The transcript has 3 exons. The record is from RefSeq and is a predicted model, not a curated record. NCBI's taxonomy places the organism in Eukaryota, Metazoa, Chordata, Mammalia, Carnivora, Felidae.
UGAAUAAAGUAAUGCUUUAUUUUGUGAAAAUGCAUAAGGUCUUUGGAAGCUUUAGGCUUGGCCAGUUGGGCCAAUUGGUCCAUCAUCACCUCCACUGCAUUCUUUUGGCCAAAACAAGUCACAAAGUCAAUCCAGACUUAAGAGGUCACAUCAAGAGGCCAUGCCCCGAGGUUGGGAAAUAAGCCUAACAAGCAGGUUCCACCAGAGAAUAAAAGAAAAAAAAAACACAAUGAAAGUCAAUUUUAUUGAUUCUAUGACAACUAAAGCAAGCAAGAAAACCCUCCAACCUAUUCUCGAUACCUAGACAUGGAAAGUCAAAAAUAAAUUUUUAACUGA